This 505-nucleotide ribosomal RNA is filed under the name uncultured bacterium. RNAcentral describes it as "partial 16S ribosomal RNA". It matches the Rfam family "Bacterial small subunit ribosomal RNA", at positions 28 to 507 of the family's 1533-position model. The record is from RNAcentral.
GACGAACGCUGGCGGCGUGCCUAUUACAUGCAAGUAGAACGCACAGUUUAUACCGUAGCUUGCUCCACCAUAGACUGUGAGUUGCGAACGGGUGAGUAACGCGUAGGUAACCUGCCUGGUAGCGGGGGAUAACUAUUGGAAACGAUAGCUAAUACCGCAUAAUAUUAAUUAUUGCAUGAUAAUUAAUUGAAAGGUGCAAUUGCACCACUACCAGAUGGACCUGCGUUGUAUUAGCUAGUAGGUGAGGUAACGGCUCACCUAGGCGACGAUACAUAGCCGACCUGAGAGGGUGAUCGGCCACACUGGGACUGAGACACGGCCCAGACUCCUACGGGAGGCAGCAGUAGGGAAUCUCCGGCAAUGGACGAAAGUCUGACCGAGCAACGCCGCGUGAGUGAAGAAGGUUUUCGGAUCGUAAAGCUCUGUUGUAAGAGAAGAACGGGUGUGAGAGUGGAAAGUUCACACUGUGACGGUAUCUUACCAGAAAGGGACGGCUAACUACGUG